AUCCGUUGCAAUCUUUUUCUGGCUGCGUAUUGAAGCUAAACUGUAAGCUAGCAGGUAAUUGUGGAAAAGAAGAUGACUCGAACUAUCGGGAAUAUAACAGGCAGCUUCAAACUCUCUCCUGGCUUUGCAAUCAAAUUUUAGGUUGCAUAUACAGUAUUUUGAUGGGGCGUCUGCGGAGGUUUGGGCGAAGGACACGAGCCUUGACUCUCAAAGCUAGCUGCUCUUCCAGGCCACUGCAAGGUAAAACAUCACAGAACACAGACAGGUUAAAGAGCAGUUUAAAAAUGUGGGUUAACUUAAUAGUUUAUUUCUCUAGUCCUCAGGAUGGACUGUGAUCAUAGGCAAAAAAAAAAGAGUUGGAUAGACAUUAAACAGCAGAGCCAGAUGAUUGUUUUUAAGAGAGGGGUUUGUGUCAGCCAGGGGAUG
This is a long non-coding RNA of Centropristis striata (black sea bass), 426 nucleotides long. RefSeq lists it as uncharacterized. The transcript is spliced from 3 exons. The record is from RefSeq and is a predicted model, not a curated record. Lineage: Eukaryota; Metazoa; Chordata; Actinopteri; Perciformes; Serranidae.